RNAcentral lists this ribosomal RNA (1051 nucleotides) under uncultured euryarchaeote. RNAcentral describes it as "bacterial SSU rRNA". It matches the Rfam family "Archaeal small subunit ribosomal RNA", at positions 1 to 1053 of the family's 1478-position model. The record is from RNAcentral. Lineage: Archaea; Methanobacteriati; Methanobacteriota.
UCCGGUUGAUCCUGCCAGAGGUUACUGCUAUUGGUGUUCGACUAAGCCAUGCAAGUCAUAUGUUCCUCGUGAACAUGGCAUACUGCUCAGUAACACGUGGAUAACCUGCCCUUGGGUCUGGGAUAACCCCGGGAAACUGGGGAUAAUACUGGAUAACGCAUAUGUGCUGGAAUGCUUUAUGCGUAAAACGGAUUCGUCCGCCCAAGGAUGGGUCUGCGGCCUAUCAGGUAGUAGUGGGUGUAAUGUACCUACUAGCCAACAACGGGUACGGGUUGUGAGAGCAAGAGCCCGGAGAUGGAUUCUGAGACAUGAAUCCAGGCCCUACGGGGCGCAGCAGGCGCGAAAACUUUACAAUGCGGGAAACCGUGAUAAGGGAACACCGAGUGCCAGCAUCAUAUGCUGGCUGUCCAGAUGUGUAAACUACAUCUGUUAGCAAGGGCCGGGCAAGACCGGUGCCAGCCGCCGCGGUAACACCGGCGGCCCGAGUGGUGACCGUUAUUAUUGGGUCUAAAGGGUCCGUAGCCGGUUUGGUCAGUCCUCCGGGAAAUCUGAUAGCUUAACUGUUAGGCUUUCGGGGGAUACUGCCAGGCUUGGAACCGGGAGAGGUAAGAGGUACUACAGGGGUAGGAGUGAAAUCUUGUAAUCCCUGUGAGACCACCUGUGGCGAAGGCGUCUUACCAGAACGGCUUCGACAGUGAGGGACGAAAGCUGGGGGAGCAAACCGGAUUAGAUACCCGGGUAGUCCCAGCCGUAAACUAUGCGCGUUAGGUGUAUCGGUGACCACGAGUUACCGAGGUGCCGAAGGGAAACCGUGAAACGUGCCGCCUGGGAAGUACGGUCGCAAGGCUGAAACUUAAAGGAAUUGGCGGGGGAGCACCACAACAGGUGGAGCCUGCGGUUUAAUUGGACUCAACGCCGGGAAGCUCACCGGAUAGGACAGCAGAAUGAUUGCCGGGCUGAAGACCCUGCAUGACUAGCUGAGAGGAGGUGCAUGGCCGUCGUCAGUUCGUACUGUGAAGCAUCCUGUUAAGUCAGGCAACGAGCGAGACCC